AUGGUAAUUUUUAAGGGAAAGAGGCUCAGGGCAGAGUGGCUGGAGGAACGACCAGAAAAAGCAAUUAUCCGCAUGUCAGAUAAUGGCUGGAUAAACUCCCAACUGUUUCUGGAGUGGGGCCAGCGGUUUGUCCAGCAGCUGCCUAAGGAGGAUCCAAGACCCCAUGUCCUGCUCUUAGAUGGCCACUACAGCCAUGUCUUCAAUCUGGAAUUCUUGGAGCUUAUGAAGAAAAAUAAUAUCCAUGUAGUGAGCUAUCCUCCCCACACCACCCACGCCCUCCAGCCAGCAGACAGAUCGCUGUUUCGAAGCCUGAAACACCACUGGCAGGAACUGGGACGCAAGUGGACAAGGAAGACAGGCGGGAAGAAGCUUCCAAAACAGCUCUUCUUUUCUGUGUUCAGCCCCGCUUGGAAGAAGGCCGCCACUGUUGAGAAUGCCCAAGCAGGUUUCCGACCCUCAGGGAUGUUUCCUGUCUCCAUGAAAGUCAUUCCAACUGACCUUUUCUUGCCAAGCCAAACCACUGAAAGGGUGAUUGAGGAAACAUCAGAAACCCUUCUGUUGUCAGAGGAGGACAUUUAUUUUGGUGUGGAAGAAGUGGUGGUAACCAGCCAGCCUGAUGAGGACGCGCAUACCUCCACCCUCACAAAGGGGCCAGCCCCCCAUGUCUCCACCCUCACAACUGGGCCACCCUCUCUACCCAGCACUUCAACAGCUGAGUGGGCUUCCAUUGUAAGGUUCUCAGACCUUAUUGAAGUACCUACAAGAGAGAGGGGAAAGAAGAGGAUGAUGGCGAGGCCACCCAGCUACCACCUAACAAGCCAGGAACACUUCAACUUUGUCCAGGCCAAAGCAGACAAAAAGAAACCAAAAACAACCAAAAUGCAUAAGCCUGCUGGUGUUCGCCCCCAAAAAGCUGCCGUUCCUGCCCUGCAAACAGUUCAGGGAAGUGACCCAUGUACUGGUUGCAAGGGGGUCUAUGGGGAUGCAAGCGACCCAAAGGCCAAUGAGGAAUGGGUGGCUUGCUGCCACUGCCAACGGUGGUAUCAUGAGUCCUGCGGAGAGCUCAACGGACUUAUGGAUGACGAUGACUUCAUCUGUCUUGGAUGUGUUCACUGAAGUUGUUAAAAGGUGGUAAAAGGAUGUAGGCUUAAUGAAGGUUCCAUUCAUUGAAUGUAGAGUGAAGUUUACAAUGUUAAAAUUUUUGCAUUAGUUCCAGAAAUGCAAGUAUUAAUUAAUUGAAGGUCUCCGUUGUCUCCGUUGUUGUAUUUUGCGCUUCAUAAUGCGCCACACAUUUUCAAUGCAUGUAUUCUGGUUUUAUUUACGUUUUACACAAUGUCCCAACUUCAUUGGAAUUGGGGUUGUAUUUCUCAUGUUCAUUUUAACCAUAAAAUAGUGUCCCACUUUCCCUAACAAAGUGUCCCACUCAAACUGAUUGCUUCCAGUUUGCUGAAGAGGGUGUCAGAUGGUGUUUAAAGAUGAACAGUUUGUUAAUAAAUACAUAAAUUUGGAACAUUUCACCAUAGUGGCCUUCAUUACAAUCUAUUUAAACAAAACACAUACAAUAUUAAUACAUUCUAACUGAUUUAGGUUGUUUAAAAUACAAUUUACCAAAAAGUGUCCCACUUUACCUGACUUCACCCUAUAUAUAUAUAUAUAUAUAUAUAUAUACAUACACAUAUAUAUAUAUAUAUAUGUAUAUAUAUAUAGACCUAUAUAUGUAAUGACUGUUUAAUAACAGUUUAAAUUUUCUAAUGGUUUUUAAGAAUGUUACAAUGUUAUAUUAUAAUGUUAUGGUUGUUUUACUUUGUCCUUUCAUCUCCGUUUACAAACCAACAUUACAGUCAGUUUGCAACCCGUGCCUUUGCGCCACCUGGCGGUAGUUUCGCGAAUGAUUUUAACAUGUGACUGACUUGCAGUUAACGCCAGGGCCCUGCAGCGGUGGUACACACGGCGGUAUUACCCAUUCUGGUUGUCCACCUACUGUACAAGAGUAAAAAAAUCUUGGGAGGAACUGAGGGUCAGAAUUCAUCUGGCUGUUAUUUGUUUUAAUUAUAUGUGUGUUUAAUUAUAUAUGUGUAUACAGUUGUGGUCAUACGCUUACAAUGUUUUUGGUCAAAAGUUUGGAAUAGUAAUAAUAAUUAUUUAUUUAUUUAUUUAUUUAGUGCAAAUAAAUAUCUAAUGCUCACCAAGGCUGCAUUUAAUUGAUCAACAAUACAGUAAAACAGUAAUUGUCACGGUUCAUGAAUGCACCGUCUCCUGCUGGUUUGUUGUGACGUCAUGUUAAUUGUUUCAUGUGGUGAUCAGCGGCAGGUGCAGCUCGUUACAGCAGCCUAUUUAAUGCCCGGUCUUUCAUCUCUUGUUCGUCAGAUUGUUGUGUGAGGUCCGCGUGGUGUUUGUCUGUUCGUGAUUCAGCGUUCCUGCUUCAUGCUCUGUUUCCUGUUUGGUCGUCUCUGGAUUAAUGCCAUCAGUACGGAUACCUCGCCUUCACCAACUCCAUCAACGCACUCAAGGGGGGUGUUAAUUCAUCACUAUCUCCACCAACGCACUCAAGGGAAUUGUCAGGUCUUCACCACUUCCAUCAUCGCACUCAAGGGAAUCUACUCACCUGUCUGUGCUGCCACCGAAUUCCCUGUGUCAUUCUCCAAGAGCCAUUCAUCAUCACAUAUUCUUAAUAAACAUCAUUAUUACUUGCAGUUGCCUCCUGUCCUUUAUCACGCCGUGACAGUAAUAUUGUGAAAUAAUAUUACAAUUUAACAUUUUAGAUUUAUAUUUGAAUAUAUUUUAAAAUGUUAUUUAUUUUCAUUGCUUUGAUGGCAAAGCUGAAUUUUCAGCAGCACUUACUGUAGUUCUCAUUAUCACAUGAUUCUUCAGAAAUCAUUCAAAUUAAAGGGCAUGGAUUUGGAUAGAUGACCUGGUUGUCACUCCUGUAAAUGAUGAAACUGUUUGUGAACGCAACCAAAUUAAGAAUUCAAAUACAGGACUGACAACUGUAUUUCGUUGCUGUGUAAACACAGCUUGUACUGUAUAUUGUGAAAAACACUGAACAAAUAAGAUUGAUUUGACUAGUACUGUACUGUGAGUCUGGUGAUUCACAGCAGUUCGAGCUGAAUCAGUUGAUAAGAACUGACUCAAAUAAUUGUUUGUUUGUUGCUGAAAUAUUGUCUGUGAAAAUAUAGCAUUGUAGUGUUUAUCAUUGCUACCCUACUAUCUAAUCAACAAUCUAGCUUUAGUACUGGAAAAAGCUACAUGAUUUCAAAAAUUGCAACACUAACACGUUACUAUCAUGAAAUGCAGCUAAUAGUUUUCCUAAUUCUGAGAAUUUUACAAAUAUAACAUGGUUAUACACUACAUAAUAAAUAAAUUGCUAGUCAUGAUUAUGAUUAAAUGUUAAUCAACAAGCUUGAUGUUCCUA
Cyprinus carpio carpio is the source of this 3412-nucleotide long non-coding RNA. The record is from Ensembl. NCBI's taxonomy places the organism in Eukaryota, Metazoa, Chordata, Actinopteri, Cypriniformes, Cyprinidae.